AUAUGUCAAAACCUAGUUUCUCCUCUCUUCCCUCUCCUCAUAUCUCUUCUUUAGUAUCUUAUUUUCCCAAUUAUCAACGAUGGUUCAUAUCUUUCUUUAUUUCUCUCACUUUUUCCCACUCUCAGAUUCAGAUCUGACUUCAUGUCCAGGAAAAUUUUGAAUCCAAUUUUUUGGUAAAAUUUGCCAAAAUCAUAACUGUUGCUCACCACCAAUCUGUCUGACAUCGUGUUAUCAGUUUAAUCUUAGCUGUAGCGACUUUGCUUAUGUCAAAACCGAAGCUCCUCCGACGAUGAGAAACAAUCAUCUAUUUUGCAUCAAAACAGAGAAGAGAGAAAAGUUCAGAAAAUUUGAUUUAUCUGUUUUACAGAGAGAGAUAUCUCUUGGGUUUUUGGACAUCUCACGAGAUUUUACAAAGAACUCAUGGUUCUUGCUUAAUCUCAUGGCAUCUUCGUUGCAGACCCUUGAAAGGAGAGUGAGUUGGCUGGUUUUCUGGAGUCAGAAUCUCUUGAUUUGAUAUAGCAGAGAGAUGGGCACAUCAUAUGCAACUUGACAUUGACCAGAACUCGAAAAUAUAGAUGAUCAAUUUUUUCAGGACACUGCAUUCUAGUGUGCAUUCUUCCAUUUAAGCUCAGAAGAUUGGGUGUGGGUCUUAGCGCAGAAGACAUUGCGUUGAUGAGCACAUAGUUCUGCACCAAGACAUAGAGGAUCCACAAGACUAAUUUUUUUUCUCUGUUUCACGCGUGUCCACAUGGUCCUUAUGCUCAGUCUGCACUCAAAGUGCUUGCUCGUUAUGGCAUGAAAACUGGUCACAUUGGUCAAGAAGCAAAUUCUUCAUAUACAAUGUGUUUAUGCAAAUGUAUAUAAAAAAUUAUCCAGUGUACACGUAAGCUUUUGUGAAUUAAUGUACACUAGAUCUUGACCCGCGCUUUGGAAGCGCGGAAUAUUUUACAAUGAAAAAUUUUAUUAAUAAUUUAACAAAUAUUUUUGUAAUUUUUAAAAGUGUGUAUUUAAAAUAUUUUUGCAUUUAAA
Long non-coding RNA from Raphanus sativus (radish), 1029 nucleotides. RefSeq lists it as uncharacterized. Lineage: Eukaryota; Viridiplantae; Streptophyta; Magnoliopsida; Brassicales; Brassicaceae. The record is from RefSeq and is a predicted model, not a curated record. The transcript has 3 exons.